RNAcentral lists this ribosomal RNA (497 nucleotides) under uncultured bacterium. Its description in RNAcentral is "partial 16S ribosomal RNA". It matches the Rfam family "Bacterial small subunit ribosomal RNA", at positions 28 to 507 of the family's 1533-position model. The record is from RNAcentral.
GAUGAACGCUGGCGGCAUGCCUAAUACAUGCAAGUCGAGCGAACAGACGAGGAGCUUGCUCCUCUGACGUUAGCGGCGGACGGGUGAGUAACACGUGGAUAACCUACCUAUAAGACUGGGAUAACUUCGGGAAACCGGUGCUAAUACCGGAUAAUAUCUUGAACCGCAUGGUUCAAUAGUGAAAGACGGUUUUGCUGUCACUUAUAGAUGGAUCCGCGCCGCAUUAGCUAGUUGGUAAGGUAACGGCUUACCAAGGCAACGAUGCGUAGCCGAACUGAGAGGGUGAUCGGCCACACUGGAACUGAGACACGGUCCAGACUCCUACGGGAGGCAGCAGUAGGGAAUCUUCCGCAAUGGGCGAAAGCCUGACGGAGCAACGCCGCGUGAGUGAUGACGGUCUUCGGAUCGUAAAACUCUGUUAUUAGGGAAGAACAAAUGUGUAAGUAACUAUGCACGUCUUGACGGUACCUAAUCAGAAAGCCACGGCUAACUACGUG